This 66-nucleotide transfer RNA is filed under the name Eurrhacini sp. UPOL A00641. RNAcentral's name for it is "partial tRNA-Gln". The record is from RNAcentral. Lineage: Eukaryota; Metazoa; Arthropoda; Insecta; Coleoptera; Lycidae.
GAAGGUAAAAGAAAUAUUAACAAUUUGCUAUUUAGAAAGUUAGAAGCUUUCUCUAGGUAUUUCUUU